GCCAAGCUGGAGAUCUCCCCUGGCCCCCUGGAUAGCGCUCCCUGCCGGGACCGGGCCCCCACAUCCCACGGAGGUUCCCAUGAUGUCAGACCCAUCAGCAGACGACUCACAAUGACCUAGCGGCGAGCAGGGGCAAGGUGUAGCACGACCACUUAUGUAUAUAGUUCGCAUGGGGCCCUAUGACCUGCCCCUUCUCCCCAGUUGUACCAGCACCUGUGCACCUCCCCCCCGGACCCUGUUACGAGGGCCUGGGAACCCUAAACGUUGCUCCCUACGUUUACCCCUAUCGGGGUUUGUAAACAACCGAGCUGCCCAACUAUAGCUAGUCACUGCCCACCUCUGGCGCCCUAUAGAACGACCACUUCUACCCCACGACCUGACUCUUGCCGCUG
Pelobates cultripes (western spadefoot toad) is the source of this 392-nucleotide non-coding RNA. NCBI's taxonomy places the organism in Eukaryota, Metazoa, Chordata, Amphibia, Anura, Pelobatidae. The record is from the annotation of a GenBank genome assembly.